This 138-nucleotide microRNA precursor is filed under the name Chlorocebus sabaeus (green monkey). RNAcentral describes it as "miRNA (ENSCSAG00000019847.1)". The stretch from base 33 to 102 matches the Rfam family "mir-8/mir-141/mir-200 microRNA precursor family". From Rfam's summary of the family: The bounds of the precursors are predicted based on conservation and base pairing and are not generally known. Lineage: Eukaryota; Metazoa; Chordata; Mammalia; Primates; Cercopithecidae. The record is from RNAcentral.
UGCCUGACCCAAGGUGGGCGGGCUGGGUGGGGGCCGUCGUCUUACCCAGCAGUGUUUGGGUGCGGUUGGGAGUCUCUAAUACUGCCGGGUAAUGAUGGAGGCCCCCGUCCCUGUGUCAGCAACAUCCAUCGCCUCAGG